Molecule: ribosomal RNA, 777 nt
Filed under: uncultured Neocallimastigales
Lineage: Eukaryota; Fungi; Neocallimastigomycota; Neocallimastigomycetes; Neocallimastigales
Description: partial large subunit ribosomal RNA
Rfam family: Eukaryotic large subunit ribosomal RNA
Source: RNAcentral
UAUCUCUGUAGAGUCUGCAUAUCAAUAAGCGGAGGAAAAGUAAACUAACUAGGAUUCCCUCAGUAACGGCGAGUGAAGCGGGAAGAGCUCAAACUUGAAAUCUUCAAGGUUCUACCUUGACGAAUUGUAGUUUAAAGAAGUGUUUUCUGUUGGAGUUUUGGUAAAAGUUCUUUGGAAUAGGACAUCAUAGAGGGUGAGAAUCCCGUAUUUGACCAUUACUUUCCAGCGUUGUGAUACACUUUCAAAGAGUCGGAUUGUUUGGGAAUGCAGUCCAAAAUGGGUGGUAAAUUUCAUCUAAAGCUAAAUAUUGGCGAGAGACCGAUAGCGAACAAGUACCGUGAGGGAAAGAUGAAAAGAACUUUGAAAAGAGAGUUAAACAGUACGUGAAAUUGUCAAAAGGGAAGCGUUUGACACCAGUGUUGUUUUCUCGAAAAUCAAUUAAGAAUGGCAUGAUUUUGUGUUGUAUUGACUUUAUCAGCUUUCUGCACUCUUUUCUUGUCUUUUUUUAAUGCACUUUUCGUUUAACAAGUCAACAUCAAUUUCUUUUGUUGUAAAAGGGUCAUUGGAAGGUGGCUUUCUUUUCGGAGAAAGUGUUUAUAGCCUUUGGCCUCUGCAAUCGGAGAGAUUGAGGUCUGCAGCGUAGAUCCUUCGGGGUUAGAUACAUUUGUGCUAAGUUAUAGCCUUUCAUAGACAACUUGUUGACUAUGAUCAGUCAUGUAGCUUACUCGCUUAUGCUAUUUUACCUACGCUUAGGAUGUUGAAGAUGUAGCACAUCAU